GGAAAGAGCCCAGCACUGAAUCCCGCGGUUGUCACGGCCGCGGGAGAUGUGGUGUUCGGGAGGUUCCGCUUUCUCGUCGUCGCAUCUCCUGUCCAAGUUCGUCUUGAACGGGGCCGUUUUCCCGCAGAGGGUGCCAGGCCCGUAGUGACGGAGGGCGGCGGCGAGAGGGACUCUCCUCAGAGUCGGGUUGCUUGAGAGUGCAGCCCUAAGUGGGUGGUAAACUCCAUCUAAGGCUAAAUAUUACCGCGAGACCGAUAGCGAACAAGUACCG
Molecule: ribosomal RNA, 271 nt
Filed under: Periacma delegata
Lineage: Eukaryota; Metazoa; Arthropoda; Insecta; Lepidoptera; Noctuidae
Description: partial 28S ribosomal RNA
Rfam family: Eukaryotic large subunit ribosomal RNA
Source: RNAcentral